This 274-nucleotide ribosomal RNA is filed under the name uncultured bacterium. Its description in RNAcentral is "partial 16S ribosomal RNA". It matches the Rfam family "Bacterial small subunit ribosomal RNA", at positions 523 to 796 of the family's 1533-position model. The record is from RNAcentral.
AUACGGAGGGUGCAAGCGUUAUUCGGAAUCACUGGGCGUAAGGGACGCGUAGGCGGGUUGGCAAGUCAGAUGUGAAAUCCUACAGCUUAACUGUAGAACUGCAUUUGAAACUGCUAACCUAGAGUAUGGGAGGGGGAGAUGGAAUUAGUGGUGUAGGGGUAAAAUCCGUAGAUAUCACUAGGAAUACCGAAAGCGAAGGCGAUCUCCUGGAACAUAACUGACGCUAAGGCGUGAAAGCGUGGGGAGCAAACAGGAUUAGAAACCCUAGUAGUCC